RNAcentral lists this ribosomal RNA (330 nucleotides) under uncultured bacterium. RNAcentral describes it as "bacterial SSU rRNA". It matches the Rfam family "Bacterial small subunit ribosomal RNA", at positions 568 to 898 of the family's 1533-position model. The record is from RNAcentral.
UUCGUAGGCGGUGCGGCAAGUCGGGAGUGAAAUCUCUGGGCUUAACCCAGAGGCUGCUUCCGAAACUGCCGUGCUCGAGUGUGGGAGAGGCGCGUGGAAUUGCAGGUGUAGCGGUGAAAUGCGUAGAUAUCUGCAGGAACACCCGUGGCGAAAGCGGCGCGCUGGACCACAACUGACGCUGAGGAACGAAAGCUAGGGGAGCAAACAGGAUUAGAUACCCUGGUAGUCCUAGCCCUAAACGAUCAGGACUUGGGGUGCCGCCCGUUCGGGCGUCGUCCCGGAGCUAACGCGUUAAGUCCUGCACCUGGGGAGUACGGUCGCAAGACUGAA